GACGAACGCUGGCGGCGUGCCUAAUACAUGCAAGUAGAACGCUGAAGGAAGGAGCUUGCUCUUUCCGGAUGAGUUGCGAACGGGUGAGUAACGCGUAGGUAACCUGCCUGGUAGCGGGGGAUAACUAUUGGAAACGAUAGCUAAUACCGCAUAACAGUAGAUGUUGCAUGAUAUCUACUUAAAAGGUGCAAUUGCACCACUACCAGAUGGACCUGCGUUGUAUUAGCUAGUUGGUGAGGUAACGGCUCACCAAGGCGACGAUACAUAGCCGACCUGAGAGGGUGAUCGGCCACCCUGGGACGGGGCCACGGCCCAGACUCCUACGGGAGGCAGCAGGAGGGGAUCUUCGGCAAUGGACGGAAGUCUGACCGAGCAACGACGCGUGAGUGAAGAAGGUUUUCGGAUCGUAAAGCUCUGUUGUAAGAGAAGAACGAGUGUGAGAGUGGAAAGUUCACACUGUGACGGUAUCUUAGCAGAAAGGGACGGCUAACUACGUG
RNAcentral lists this ribosomal RNA (497 nucleotides) under uncultured bacterium. RNAcentral describes it as "partial 16S ribosomal RNA". It matches the Rfam family "Bacterial small subunit ribosomal RNA", at positions 28 to 507 of the family's 1533-position model. The record is from RNAcentral.